AAAUAAUACGAAAUAUGAUUGUUUACAUUAAAAUGCAAAAGUUGAUGAUAAAGUAUGAUAAGUUGAAAAAAGUGACAUUUGAGGUCUAGAAAGUCACUUUUCAUCAAAAGUACCAUAACAAAACUUGUUUCCAUUCAUCCUGUGUGUCCAUGCACACUUGUGCUCUUUAUCCGCUCAAAACGCUAUACAGCGAACGAGAAGGCGCUAGGAGCAAAGGAAAGUGGUUUUUCUAACAAACUCAUGUAAUCAAUUGCCCGACGUACUCCAAUUUGAUUUUUUUCACAUAGUUAGACAUAAUAUAGUACUAUGAAAUGUUUCUGACCCUAAAUAAUACGAAAUAUGAUUGUUUACAUUAAAAUGUAAAACUUGAUGAUAAAGUAUGAUAAGUUGAAAAAAGUGACAUUUGAAGGUCAGAAAGUCACUUUUCAUCAAAAGUACCAUAACAAAACUUGUUUCCAUUCAUCCUGUGUGUCCAUGCACACUUGUGCUCUUUAUCCGCUCAAAACGCUAUACAGCGAACGAGAAGGCGCUAGGAGCAAAGGAAAGUGGUUUUUCUAACAAACUCAUGUAAUCAAUUGCCCGACGUACUCCAAUUUGAUUUUUUUCACAUAGUUAGACAUAAUAUAGUACUAUGAAAUGUUUCUGACCCUAAAAUAUUACGAAAUAUGAUUGUUUACAUUAAAAUGUAAAAGUUGAUGAAAAAGUAUGAUAAGUUGAAAAAAGUGACAUUUGAGGUCUAGAAAGUCAGUUUUCAUCAAAAGUACAAUAACAAAACUUGUUUCCAUUCAUCCUGUGUCUCCUGACACACUUGUGCUCUUUAUCCGCUCAAAACGCUAUACAGCGAACGAGAAGGCGCUAGGAGCAAAGGAAAGUGGUUUUUCUAACAAACUCAUGUAAUCAGUUGCCCGACCUACUCCAAUUUGAUUUUUUUCACAUAGUUAGACAUAAUAUAGUACUAUGAAAUGUUUCUGACCCAAAAUAAUUACGAAAUAUGAUUGUUUACAUUAAAAUGUAAAACUUGAUGAUAAAGUAUGAUAAGUUGAAAAAAGUGACAUUUGAGGUCUAGAAAGUCAGUUUUCAUCAAAAGUACCAUAACAAAACUUGUUCC
Ictalurus punctatus (channel catfish) is the source of this 1108-nucleotide long non-coding RNA. Lineage: Eukaryota; Metazoa; Chordata; Actinopteri; Siluriformes; Ictaluridae. The record is from Ensembl.